Molecule: ribosomal RNA, 451 nt
Filed under: uncultured bacterium
Lineage: Bacteria
Description: bacterial SSU rRNA
Rfam family: Bacterial small subunit ribosomal RNA
Source: RNAcentral
GAUGAACGCUGGCGGCGUGCUUAACACAUGCAAGUCGAACGAAACACCUUAUUUGAUUUUCUUCGGAACUGAAGAUUUGGUGAUUGAGUGGCGGACGGGUGAGUAACGCGUGGGUAACCUGCCCUGUACAGGGGGAUAACAGUCAGAAAUGACUGCUAAUACCGCAUAAGACCACAGCACCGCAUGGUGUAGGGGUAAAAACUCCGGUGGUACAGGAUGGACCCGCGUCUGAUUAGCUGGUUGGUGAGGUAACGGCUCACCAAGGCGACGAUCAGUAGCCGGCUUGAGAGAGUGAACGGCCACAUUGGGACUGAGACACGGCCCAAACUCCUACGGGAGGCAGCAGUGGGGAAUAUUGCACAAUGGGGGAAACCCUGAUGCAGCGACGCCGCGUGAGUGAAGAAGUAUCUCGGUAUGUAAAGCUCUAUCAGCAGGGAAGAAAAUGACGGUA